GUGUACAGCCAUACUACCCUGAACACGCCCAAUCUCGUCUGAUCUCGGAAGCUAAGCAGAUUCUGGCCUAGUUAGUACUUGGAUGGGAGAAAGGGAGAGAGCGACACC
This is a ribosomal RNA of Erinaceus europaeus (western European hedgehog), 108 nucleotides long. Lineage: Eukaryota; Metazoa; Chordata; Mammalia; Eulipotyphla; Erinaceidae. The record is from Ensembl.